This 783-nucleotide ribosomal RNA is filed under the name uncultured Oxalobacteraceae bacterium. RNAcentral's name for it is "bacterial SSU rRNA". It matches the Rfam family "Bacterial small subunit ribosomal RNA", at positions 616 to 1402 of the family's 1533-position model. Lineage: Bacteria; Pseudomonadati; Pseudomonadota; Betaproteobacteria; Burkholderiales; Oxalobacteraceae. The record is from RNAcentral.
GGGAAUUGCGAUGGAGACUGCAAGGCUAGAAUCUGGCAGAGGGGGGUAGAAUUCCACGUGUAGCAGUGAAAUGCGUAGAGAUGUGGAGGAACACCGAUGGCGAAGGCAGCCCCCUGGGUCAAGAUUGACGCUCAUGCACGAAAGCGUGGGGAGCAAACAGGAUUAGAUACCCUGGUAGUCCACGCCCUAAACGAUGUCUACUAGUUGUCGGGUUUUAAUUAACUUGGUAACGCAGCUAACGCGUGAAGUAGACCGCCUGGGGAGUACGGUCGCAAGAUUAAAACUCAAAGGAAUUGACGGGGACCCGCACAAGCGGUGGAUGAUGUGGAUUACUUCGAUGCAACGCGAAAAACCUUACCUACCCUUGACAUGUACGGAAGCCACGAGAGAUUCGUAGGUGUGCUCGAAAGAGAGCCGUAACACAGGUGCUGCAUGGCUUGUCGUCAGCUCGUGUCGUGAGAUGUUGGGUUAAGUCCCGCAACGAGCGCAACCCUUGUCAGUAGUUGUUACGAAAGGGCACUCUAAUGAGACUGCCGGUGACAAACCGGAGGAAGGUGGGGAUGACGUCAAGUCCUCAUGGCCCUUAUGGGUAGGGCUUCACACGUCAUACAAUGGUACAUACAGAGGUCCGCCAACCCGCGAGGGGGAGCUAAUCCCAGAAAGUGUAUCGUAGUCCGGAUUGUAGUCUGCAACUCGACUGCAUGAAGUUGGAAUCGCUAGUAAUCGCGGAUCAGCAUGUCGCGGUGAUACGUUCCCGGGUCUUGUACACACCGCCCGUCACAC